This 480-nucleotide ribosomal RNA is filed under the name uncultured bacterium. RNAcentral describes it as "partial 16S ribosomal RNA". It matches the Rfam family "Bacterial small subunit ribosomal RNA", at positions 28 to 523 of the family's 1533-position model. The record is from RNAcentral.
GACGAACGCUGGCGGCGUGCUUAACACAUGCAAGUCGAGCGGAAAGGCCACUUCGAUGGUACUCGAGCGGCGAACGGGUGAGUAACACGUGAGUAAUCUGCCCCUGGCUUUGGGAUAGCCACCGGAAACGGUGAUUAAUACCGGAUACGACCACUUCUCGCAUGGGAUGGUGGUGGAAGGUUUUUCGGCGAGGGGUGUGCUCGCGGCCUAUCAGCUUGAUGGUGAGGUAGUGGCUCACCAUGGCUUCGACGGGUAGCCGGCCUGCGAGGGUGGACGGUGCCACUGGGACUGGGACACGGGCGAGAGUCCUACGGGAGGCAGGAGUGGGGAAUGUUGAACAAUGGGCGGAAGCCUGAUCCAGCAGCGCCGCGUGAGGGAUGGCGGCCUUCGGGUUGUAAACCUCUUUCAGCAGGGACGAAGUGCAAGUGACGGUACCAGCAGAAGAAGCACCGGCCAACUACGUGCCAGCCGCCGCCGUAA